Molecule: non-coding RNA, 179 nt
Filed under: Chattonella subsalsa
Lineage: Eukaryota; Raphidophyceae; Chattonellales; Chattonellaceae
Source: RNAcentral
AGUUCAAGGUCAAAACCUGAAAGCAGAAAUAGAAAAAGAAAAAAAAAAAAGAACGCAUCAGAAAGUAGGAGAGAAAACAUGACCAAAAGGGGAAAUGUUAAAAGGAAUACUAACCGUUUCCUCACUUGUGUGGCAUUAGUUUCCUCUGCCUCUGUCUCUGCCUUUCAAACUCCUGGUUU